This 253-nucleotide ribosomal RNA is filed under the name uncultured bacterium. Its description in RNAcentral is "partial 16S ribosomal RNA". It matches the Rfam family "Bacterial small subunit ribosomal RNA", at positions 524 to 776 of the family's 1533-position model. The record is from RNAcentral.
UACGUAGGGUGCAAGCGUUAAUCGGAAUUACUGGGCGUAAAGCGUGCGCAGGCGGUUUUGUAAGUCUGUCGUGAAAUCCCCGGGCUCAACCUGGGAACUGCAUUUGUGACUGCACGGCUGGAGUGCGGCAGAGGGGGAUGGAAUUCCGCGUGUAGCAGUGAAAUGCGUAGAUAUGCGGAGGAACACCGAUGGCGAAGGCAAUCCCCUGGGCCUGCACUGACGCUCAUGCACGAAAGCGUGGGGAGCAAACAGG